This 253-nucleotide ribosomal RNA is filed under the name uncultured bacterium. RNAcentral describes it as "partial 16S ribosomal RNA". It matches the Rfam family "Bacterial small subunit ribosomal RNA", at positions 524 to 776 of the family's 1533-position model. The record is from RNAcentral.
UACGUAGGGGGCAAGCGUUGUCCGGAAUCAUUGGGCGUAAAGCGCGUGUAGGCGGCUCGGUAAGUCCGCUCUGAAAGUCCAAGGCUCAACCUUGGGAUGCGGGUGGAUACUGCCGGGCUCGAGUCCGGAAGAGGCGAGUGGAAUUCCUGGUGUAGCGGUGAAAUGCGCAGAUAUCAGGAAGAACACCCGUGGCUAAGGCGGCUCUCUAGUACGGUACUGACGCUGAGACGCGAAAGCGUGGGGAGCGAACAGG